UGAGAAUUCACUGAUUCAAACACGCUCAAUUUGCCGCCGGGCGAUGCUUCCUCUCCCCGCAUCGAAAUUGAGUGGUCAAACUGAGGCGCGGGGAGUCAUUUGCUUGUCGAAAAUCGGAGUGUCAAUACUUAUUAAUUUGUGUGAAGUGUGUAACCUGUUAUAGCAGCGUUAUAUUUCCACAUUCCAAUUCUGUAACCUUUAUUCACUACUAUUAGAUAUUGGUUAAUGGCGGGAAAGAUCCCUAUUCUGUAAGAAUU
Long non-coding RNA from Bombus impatiens (common eastern bumble bee), 257 nucleotides. RefSeq lists it as uncharacterized. Lineage: Eukaryota; Metazoa; Arthropoda; Insecta; Hymenoptera; Apidae. The transcript has 2 exons. The record is from RefSeq and is a predicted model, not a curated record.